RNAcentral lists this long non-coding RNA (2985 nucleotides) under Marmota monax (woodchuck). Lineage: Eukaryota; Metazoa; Chordata; Mammalia; Rodentia; Sciuridae. The record is from RNAcentral.
CUUCAAAAAGUUGAAACUCUUUGAUGUGUUUCCUUUUUUCUUUUUUAAUAGCCCCCAACAGUGGUAACCAAGACAUGUCAGCCUGGUUCAAUCUAUUUGCAGACUUGGAUCCACUUUCAAAUCCAGAUGCCAUUGGACACUCAGAUGAUGAACUUCUUAAUGCUUGACUGAAAUUAUAAUGUCAUUUUGGGGGUCUUGUGACAUCAAUUUUGCAACAUAUUGCUUUUGUGAAAAGGUUUAUAUUGCAAUCCACACACAAAAGCAUGGUGUUGGUGAAUAUAACACCUGUCAGCUGACUUUAGACAGAUGGUAAGGUCCACAUUUGAAUAGAUUAAGUAUAUCUGUAGUAUCUUGGAUUUGCAGAGGUUGAUACUAUGUGGAAAAUUUUAGAAACCACUGAGUCUGCAAUUUUUAGAUAACAAAAUCUAUGUCAAAAUGACAGGGUAAUUCUGCCAAAAAGGACUUGGGAUUAUUCCUCUUGAAAGUGUUUUUAAGUUGCCCUGCUGGCUAUGAGAAUUCUAUAUGUGAAUAAAGGACAGCAUGUAAAUUGGGUUGUGGUUUGGGGUUGGUUUUUAAAUAAAACAGGGAGGGGAUUUCUGUUGUGGAAAAUAGCACCAGACCAGCUUUGUCUUUGAUUAGAAAGGUAGAGUAAGCUUUGAGAACUCAAUUUGCUUUAAAGAAAUCAGAGAAACUUGUACUUGUUUUUCUCCAUCUGGAGGCUAAAAUGUAAAGUUACCUUUCAUUUAUACAAAAUCAUGGACACCCCUAAUUCAUUUAUUAAAUUUUCAUGGGGGAAGUAGCAAGAUGAUUAAUUUGUCAAGCUUAUCCUCUGUAGAAAUGAAAAAAAAAUCUACCCAUUUCAUAAACCACAAGAAUAUGCAGCAAGAUUCAAGACAUUGUACAAAUAUCUUUAGGCCUGAUUUUUCACAUAUUGCUAUAGAGUAAUAUGCAGUAUUCAUUUUCUUCCUGAAAAGAAAACAAGAUUCGCUAACAAACUGGCAAUGGUAUUCCUGAAAUUACUUAAAAACUUCAAUUUUAAACACCUUAUCCUUAUACACAUUUUGCAAUAGUUACCCCAUAUUUCUUAACACAAUUCAACCCAGAAUAUUUUCUGGCAGAGACACAGAAAACUCUACAUGAUCAAUAGAGGAGUGUCCUAUUUUUGCACUGCUCCCUUUCUGUGGGAGACAUCAUCUGAGGCUCUAUUUGACUAUUAAGCAAAAACUAUUACUUAGUUUUAGAACCUAAGUUCUGGAGGUAAAGCUAUUUAAUGGAAGUUAGUGAAAGCUGGUGAAAAUAUAGCUACUGUACACACAUCGCUCAAUUUCCUUUUUUUCCCCCCUGCCCUUUAGUUUUGAGGCAAUUUUCCAACUGUUUUAUUUUUGCCAACCAAUGCAUUGCAACACCAUAAGAAGACAUUUUUCAUUAAAUUGUUCACAGUAGCUUUCAUGUGCUUCUCAUUCUAAACAGGCUUAUUUAGAAGAAAGCUGCUGGUAAUGUCUAAGUCAUUGUAUAUGGUAAACAUUUUUAAGGAAUGGACUGGAGUAGGUAAAAUGCAGCCCACCUCCCAUCCACAGCAGUCUGGCCUACGUACAAAGUUAAAUGCCCAGGAGCUCUCUAGAAAACCUCUACUAUGGCCAACAACUGCACAGGCCAGAAAAACCUUAUCCGAGGGCCAGAAACAUGGACUCAGGAAAAAAGUAUGAAAUCUUUCCUAGUAUCUUUUCACAUUUUUCCUAUAUUUAUCUGUUUUUAAUGAGCUUUAUUAUCUCUACAGAAGCAUUUUUUUAAUUCUUCCUUUUUAGUCAGUGAAAAUUUUCAGAAUGCAGAAGUCAUUAUUUUGCCAAGAUUUAAUCACCAAGAUAAUGAUUAUAAAUCACAAUCUAAAUUCUAUGCCCACAGUGACUCAUGGUGACUAACUUUCAACUUUGAUUGCCUCAAAAAAAUGCUAAUUUUUAUUGUCUUAGGUUUGUGCCAUCUUACUCAGCAGUAGUAGCCUAACACAUUGGUGUGCAAGUAUUAGUAGUACAUGUCUCUCACAUUCAUGGAAAGCAGUCCCCAUCACCUGGUAUAAACAAAGAUACUUCAAUGAGUUGGAAAACCAGUGGUCUCUACAAACCAGGAGCUUAAAUCCCACACAGUUCAUGUGAAGGGAUAACAACCUCAAUUUUCCAAGAGCAAAUGUGACCCCACAUUGAAACGUCAAAGGGUUUCUGUUGUUCAGCUGUUUCCUUUUUCAACAGAGCAUGUAGUUUGCCAUUUAACCCAGAAGCAACACUAACUGCCUCAGCAAAUUUAAUCUAGAAGAUUCAUUCAAAUAAGAAUGAAUCAAUCCUAAACCUAGGGUAGAGCAAGACUAGCUCUUUCAAAAGCGAUACCUUUUAUAUUAAGUGAGGGAAAAACCUAUCUUCUGCUUUCUACCAGAUGAUAAUGCAUUGAAGCUUAGAAAAGCCCCCCAGCAGAACUAAAAUUUAACUCUUUUUAACAGUUUAUAGGAGAGGCAGGAAUACCAAGGCAUAAGAUCACAUAUCAUUGGAACUUUGUAUUUUUUUUUUUUAAAUCUUUCUUUUAAUUGCAGAACAUAGCUCUAAAAAAGAUUAGAAACAUACUAUUUAGACAAAAUAGGUUCUAGUAUCUGCACACUGAAAAAGAAGUUUUUGUAUUUCAACUAUGGAUACUUAUUUCACAUAAUUGUCUUUAUAGAUCAUCUAGAAAUGUAAACUUCUUCGAGGAAUAGAACAAAGGAAAUUUAAAUGCGCUCUAUUUUUCUGAGCCUCUUUUAAUAAAGAUUGCAAGGUGGCAUAAAACAAAAAAGUUUGUUUCCUGAAAUGUUCGAUACAAUCCAAUUUUUGUUUCCCUAUUUUAAAACAUGGGUUUCACCCCAGGGUUUCACAAAUGAAAUUGAUAAGAAUGAAAAGAGAAUUCAGAAUGACAAUAAAACCACAGCAAUUCAUGACCUUGUUAAGACUGAUUUACCUCAAACUG